RNAcentral lists this ribosomal RNA (498 nucleotides) under uncultured Saprospiraceae bacterium. RNAcentral describes it as "bacterial SSU rRNA". It matches the Rfam family "Bacterial small subunit ribosomal RNA", at positions 8 to 503 of the family's 1533-position model. Lineage: Bacteria; Pseudomonadati; Bacteroidota; Saprospiria; Saprospirales; Saprospiraceae. The record is from RNAcentral.
AGGCUUUGAUCCUGGCUCAGGAUGAACGCUAGCGGCAGGCCUAAUACAUGCAAGUCGAGCGGUAAGGUCCUUCGGGACCCUAGAGCGGCGCACGGGUGAGUAACGCGUACACGACCUACCUUUAACACUGGGAUAGCCCUGGGAAACUGGGAGUAAUACCGGAUGUGAUCAUAUUUAAUAGAGGGAUAUGAUUAAAGCUGAGGCGGUUAGAGAUGGGUGUGCGUCUGAUUAGCUAGUUGGUGAGGUAACGGCUCACCAAGGCGAUGAUCAGUAGGGGGCGUGAGAGCGUGGUCCCCCACACGGGUACUGAGACACGGACCCGACUCCUACGGGAGGCAGCAGUAAGGAAUAUUGGGCAAUGGACGGAAGUCUGACCCAGCCAUGCCGCGUGCAGGAAGAAGGCCCUAUGGGUUGUAAACUACUUUUCGUGAGGGAAGAAAAGUAUUUAUUUAUAGGAUAUCUGAACGGUACCGUCAGUGAAUAAGCACCGGGUAAAUC